Leopardus geoffroyi (Geoffroy's cat) is the source of this 3823-nucleotide long non-coding RNA. RefSeq lists it as uncharacterized. The transcript has 5 exons. NCBI's taxonomy places the organism in Eukaryota, Metazoa, Chordata, Mammalia, Carnivora, Felidae. The record is from RefSeq and is a predicted model, not a curated record.
CUGAAAUCAAGGGUCGGACGCUUAACCGACUGAGCCACCCAGGUGCUCCAGGCAGACUUUAAUUUAAAGAAUAACAAUGUGGUUUGGGAAAUUAUCCCAAAUGGAUAUUUCAACAAUGACAAGAAGGCAGCCACCAGGGGGUUUGGGGAAGUUCAUGGUUGGGGUGGGAGGGCUGACGAGUGUACCUCCUGAGAUUUACUGAACUGCCUUCAGUAAAGUGGAACUGGGGGGCGGAAUCCAAUUUCGGAAGCUUCAUUUUGGACCGAGAUUUAGAAGGUGUAACAGCUGAGCCAGUUCCGUGGAGAAAAAUCUGUGCUGAACUUGCAUCUGGUUUUGCUCCUUCGAGCCCCAGAGCACAGAAGGAAAAUGCCCAAGACCGACGGCAGUGAGGAGCAAGGUUCUUGCUGGCUCCCAAACCCAGAAAACUGCAGGGACACUGGCCACCUAGGGUCGUGGAUCCUUAGCUCUCGGGGACACCCACCAGAACCCAUCGGUGGAAGGAUCUCAGAACACAGAGGAGGGAAUAGAGAUCCAGCACUCCUCUGCUCCCUUGGAGACGGAAGGCAGAUGGAAUUAACGGGUGACCUAUGAUCCCGUGAGGGACAUUACCACUCUCUGUUCUGUCUCGGUUGGGGUCUAAGGCAGACCCAGCCCCGACACCCUGAUGCCUUUGGGGUCUCCCAUAUAGUUUAUCCAGACAAGGACUUGGAGCUCGGGAGCCUUUUAGGGAACAAAGUUUAGCUUCCUCUUCACCUCACCCACCCCAGGUUGGAAAGGAAAACCACAUCUCCAAGCACGAGGCACCUCCUUCCAGCAGGAGGCUUAGCCAUCCUACCGUGUGCCACUGCUUCGAAGGGAACCAUUUUCUGACAUGUCACGGCCAGGAGUUGGCAGUUACCCACUUUCAGGCGCAGCGACGGUGUCCCCACCUGCAGGGAUGGUGAGCGCAUCCGAUCCCGGGGCUCUGAUCAGGUGAGAAGUCCAAUGAAACCCAAACUUGUCCUCUGGACAAGGCUGCUCCGUGAAAUAGAGCUGCCCCUCAGUGAGUCUGGCUGUCUCUCCGGGCCCCUUGCCAAGCCUCAGAAGCACCUUAACCGGAAGCCCUGCUGAUGCAAAGCACCGCCUUCUGUUCUGGGCAAGCCGUGGCCAGGAAAAGUCAGCUUGCAGGGACCACGCCUAAACGAAGGAGCCAAAGAUACACCCAAAAUCGAAGCCACAUCCCGUGUUCCCCAAAGAUGAUGGCUUUUCUGUUCCCCGCAGCUCAUUACGAGGGCCCCUCACCGGACAAUGGAUCUCUCUGGGCCACCCAGCCACGCAGGGGAUAAGACAGCUUCUGAAAUACAGAAUAUUUUUGGAGCUCUGAUCCCGACUCCCACAUCCGCAGCCCCUUUUGGACUAGACAGCCUCCUCCUCGGAUUCUCGGUGGCUCAUCACAUCCCGCCGUCUGUGACCAGAAACGGGCCGGGGGAACGAGUAGACAAGAAGGCCGUCGCCGACCAGGCCCACGGCUUCCCAGAGGGAAAGCGGUUGGAGGCACAGCGCUUUGCGUGUCAGCCGUCGCAGAGCAGGGGCUGAGGCAGGCGACGGAGGAAGGCAGGAGGUGAAGCUGGCAUCAGAGCCUUCCCUGGCGGAGCGAUUCCCGAAGACGCUGCUGAUGAACUGCAGCCUGUCUGGGAGCCCCCCGCCCCGGGCCCCCCGCCCCCUCCUCUUCUGUGCAGAGAAAGGUAGCUGGGGAGCUGUUGCGUGGCUGGGGUGCCGUCUGCCCUGACCCCUAUCGUUUCGCCUCUUGGCUUGGGUCCCAGGCCCCACGAUGGGCCGGCGGCCGGCUAAGGCCACAGAUGAGCCGAGUAGCCACACGGUAUGGCUUGGGAGCAUUUCAGCAUGGCGGGAAGGGAGCGUGCUUUGCAGGCAAAUGGCCCCAGCGUCCUGGCCCAGCCUUCUCUCCUUUGAAAUCCAACUGCAUUCUGGCACUUUGCAUUACUUAGGGUAACACGGGCAGCAGUAACAAAGAACCCCUCCGAUGUCACAGCCUUAGCACUGAUAUUUACGUCCAGUUCAGGACAGUGGGUGACCGUCCUCAGGUGGCGAUUCAGGAGCCCAGGCUCGCCGACCCCUAGGGCCUUGGAGAUCUCCACGCGGAGGGUGAGAGAAAGCACAGGUUACAUUAGCCUCAAACGACACACCUCACUUCUACUCACCUUUCAUUGUCGGGAGGAUGGGGAAACGUAAUCCGAGGGAGAACUUCGUGCUGUGGCCUGGAGGGUGCCAGUGUCGCUGUCACAAUAAUGGGGUAAACUUUCAAAGCUUCGAUUUCCUCGCCUGUAAACAGAGACGUGGGACCAACAGCCGAGAGUUACCAGGAAGACGAGAGCUGAUGUCCACGAUGCGACUCAGCCAGUGCCUGACGUGGACCGGGGGCUGUGAUUACAGCCAGAGGGACAGGGGCUGUCUCAUCAGCUGGAGCCGGGGCGAUCCAAGCUCAUGCCCACGUGCCCAUCCCGUGCUUCUGCAGAAAGAGGUUUCUUACGUGAGACUGUUAUGCAACGUGCGUGCGGGAUCGUGGUUAAUAUGGGAAUGCUGGUCUCCGUCAUGAAGAUUAUUAGGUAACGUGCAUUACGUACUGUGAUUAUUUUGUAAAUGCAAGUGAACCGCUCACUCUACCGAACGUCCCAUGGACUAAAAUUCCGGGGACAUCGAUGCAAGCUUUGGACUAUUUUCCCAUUGUUUGCUAUCUUGGAAAAGGCCUUUGUUAUCAAAGCGGUAGAGAUCAUUGCAAAAAUUGCCAACACACAGAUGGCUCUAAAGUGGAACUUAAAAGCCUUCUCCCCACACUCGGUGCCCCCUCUCUUACCGUUGUUGGAUAAGCAACUAUCGUUAACGCUUUCGGUACAUCCUUCCAGAAACACUCUACGUUUAUACACAAGCAUAUUUAAGUCCUCUCCUUUGGCACAAAAGCGAAUCAUGCUAACGUGUUAUUCCGCGACUCCUUUUUCUUUUUCUCUGCUUCCGCAUCUGCUCUAACUCAAUAGUAUUCCAUCGUGGAAUAAGCCACAGUUUCUUUAACCAGAGAUGAGAGGUUUAGUGAGAAGUAAAAAGGCAUCAAACCCCUCUUUUCUCCGUGUGAGUUGAUGGCUAACUCCCCAAGCUGACCUCCCCACCAGAUUCCAGGUGUCCUCUGAAAUCACAGUCCCAUCCGGGUGCCCCCAGGGUCCACGUGCCCCCUACCAGGGCAUCCCCUCAACACCCCAGGAUGUGAAUGGCUGUGGUCCAGAAAACGAGGAUAAGGGCCUGGGGGUGGAGUAAGCUGUCAGAAGUCUUCAGGAACUCCUUCCUUGUGCCCACAGCCUCUAGCUGGCUCAAAAAGGUAAAACUCUCUUUCUUGUCCCCUCCGGGGCGUGGGGUACGCUUGGUUCAACUUCAGAGAUCUGGGCCCAGAGACUGGUGAUCCCAAAAGGAAUCCUAUACUGUCGCUCAGGUCAUUUGGAUGAAGACUUCUUCAUGGUAGGGAGAAAACCCAAGUGGUCCUUGCAACUUUGAGGGUUUUCACUGGGCAUUUGGAGAUCUCGCUGGUUCUGUGUUCGGCAAGGCUGUGAAAAUGAUUCUGUGCACACAUCACUUGUCCAAGCCAUGGGAACCCAACCGGCUUCGGCCCUAGAAGAGUGUUUUCCAGUUUUCAAACGUUCGUGGGCCACCUUCUGAUUUCCUUUUUUCCAUCUCUGCAGACGGCAAAGCCUUGGAGUCACAGGUUGGGUGUGUUUAUAUUCUUUGGAAUAAACACAUCACAAUAAAUAAACUCCUUUAAAAAAAAAAAAAGCAUGAUCGU